GGUGUUUUCUCUUCGGUUGCUAGCUAAUCACCAGGUUCUCAUGCAUGGUUUGCGAUCAUCUCCAAUAUAGAUAAAUAUUUGGGCUUGAUAUGAUUCGAUGCCCAUAGCUCAUCUGAGAUGUUGUGCGAUUGAAUGAUUGAAUUACAUGAUAACUACUACUGAAAGAUAUUUUUGAUAUUUUCAUUAUUUUUAUAUUUUCUAGAUAGUCAUGAUAUGUUGCUAGACAUC
Molecule: long non-coding RNA, 228 nt
Filed under: Elaeis guineensis (African oil palm)
Lineage: Eukaryota; Viridiplantae; Streptophyta; Magnoliopsida; Arecales; Arecaceae
Description: long non-coding RNA (EGUI_LNC017451)
Source: RNAcentral